CCUCCCCGGCCGCUGGGGCGCCGUACGCCUGGCGACUAGCACGGAUGAAAACAUGGAGGCGUGCUGUGUUCCAGUUUCACUUCAUCACCCUCUGGAUUUACAGCUCUGCCCAGUUCUGUCGUCAUUACAGGCAAGAUCCUCUUGUAUGAUAGGAACCAGUAACAGUCACCAGACCAGAAUUUGAACACACACAUCCUUAAGGACCAGUUACAGAAGAGAUCCCGAUAGAAGAUUCCAGAAACCACAAUCAAAAACACAGAUGCCAUUUAUGUAUUUGAAGAAAUUGAACAGUCUCUCCUGGGCUUGGAGGCAUUUACAAUGAUGUCUCAAUUGUACAUAUGUUCUACAUGUUAGUUACAAAACACUCAGAGAAAUUGUUGUGAUCUUAGUGCAAGAGGAUAUCAUUGAACACGUCAUAGGAGAAUCUACUCGGGAGAGCUAAUAUUGAGAAAAUCUGCAUGUAUGAUCUGCCAUUGAGGUUGCUCAUCUCGGAACUUCAGACAUUGGGGGUCUUGGAGUGAUUUGCAAAGGUCGUCACCAAGCCUUUUUAGUUGAUUUAAUAAGUAACUAUCCUACAUGUAUAUGUACUAUUUUCACAAGUAGGUAGAUACUAAAAUGAUUAGUAAAAUAUUAAUUUAAAUAUAAUAUCAAAC
RNAcentral lists this long non-coding RNA (653 nucleotides) under Lynx canadensis (Canada lynx). RNAcentral describes it as "lncRNA (ENSLCNG00005006438.1)". Lineage: Eukaryota; Metazoa; Chordata; Mammalia; Carnivora; Felidae. The record is from RNAcentral.